CGUAGGGUCCGAGCGUUGUCCGGAAUUAUUGGGCGUAAAGGGCUCGUAGGCGGUUUGUCACGUCGGGCGUGAAAACUCAGGGCUCAACCCUGAGCGGGCGUCCGAUACGGGCAGACUAGAGGUAUGCAGGGGAGAACGGAAUUCCUGGUGUAGCGGUGGAAUGCGCAGAUAUCAGGAGGAACACCGGUGGCGAAGGCGGUUCUCUGGGCAUUACCUGACGCUGAGGAGCGAAAGCAUGGGGAGCGAACAGGAUUAGAUACCCUGGUAGUCCAUGCCGUAAACGUUGGGCGCUAGGUGUGGGGACCUUCCACGGUCUCCGUGCCGCAGCUAACGCAUUAAGCGCCCCGCCUGGGGAGUACGGCCGCAAGGCUA
Molecule: ribosomal RNA, 372 nt
Filed under: uncultured organism
Description: bacterial SSU rRNA
Rfam family: Bacterial small subunit ribosomal RNA
Source: RNAcentral